GACGAACGCUGGCGGCGUGCCUAAUACAUGCAAGUAGAACGCUGAAGAGAGGAGCUUGCUCUUCUUGGUUGAGUUGCGAACGGGUGAGUAACGCGUAGGUAACCUGCCUGGUAGCGGGGGAUAACUAUUGGAAACGAUAGCUAAUACCGCAUAAAAUGGAUUAUCGCAUGAUAAUCCAUUGAAAGGUGCAAAUGCAUCACUACCAGAUGGACCUGCGUUGUAUUAGCUAGUUGGUGGGGUAACGGCUCACCAAGGCGACGAUACAUAGCCGACCUGAGAGGGUGAUCGGCCACGCUGGGACUGAGACACGGCCCAGACUCCUACGGGAGGCAGCAGUAGGGAAUCUUCGGAAAUGGACGGAAGUCUGACCGAGCAACGCCGCGUGAGUGAAGAAGGUUUUCGGAUCGUAAAGCUCUGUUGUAAGAGAAGAACGAGUGUGAGAGUGGAAAGUUCACACUGUGACGGUAUCUGACCAGAAAGGGACGGCUAACUACGUG
Molecule: ribosomal RNA, 497 nt
Filed under: uncultured bacterium
Lineage: Bacteria
Description: partial 16S ribosomal RNA
Rfam family: Bacterial small subunit ribosomal RNA
Source: RNAcentral